Molecule: ribosomal RNA, 294 nt
Filed under: uncultured bacterium
Lineage: Bacteria
Description: partial 16S ribosomal RNA
Rfam family: Bacterial small subunit ribosomal RNA
Source: RNAcentral
UGUCCCUACGGGGGGCAGCAGUGGGGGAUAUUGCACAAUGGGGGGAACCCUGAUGCAGCGACGCCGCGUGGGUGAAGAAGUAUUUCGGUAUGUAAAGCCCUAUCGGCAGGGAAGAAAUUGGACGGUACCUGACUAAGAAGCCCUGGCUAACUACGUGCCAGCAGCCGCGGUAAUACGUAGGGGGCAAGCGUUAUCCGGAUUUACUGGGUGUAAAGGGAGCGUAGACGGCGAUGCAAGUCUGAAGUGAAAGGCGGGGGCCCAACCCCCGGACUGCUUUGGAAACUGUAUUGCUGG